This 203-nucleotide non-coding RNA is filed under the name unclassified sequences. RNAcentral describes it as "raiA RNA". It matches the Rfam family "raiA RNA". The record is from Rfam by way of RNAcentral.
GACAAUCGGGUCUGUGGUUGUAAGCCGAAGCCAGUCGCAGGCAAAGCGGUCCACGUAAGUCGUCCAAAGCGUCGAUGAGCAUGGUGCGGUUUAGAAGUAAGUCCGACCGGGAUUCCCCCGAGAGAGCAGCGUGAGGGCGCAGAAGCGCAGAGCAAAGCUCCUGUCGGCGAGUGUGGGGUCAAAAACCAGGUCAGCCGGUUAUC